Molecule: ribosomal RNA, 462 nt
Filed under: uncultured beta proteobacterium
Lineage: Bacteria; Pseudomonadati; Pseudomonadota; Betaproteobacteria
Description: bacterial SSU rRNA
Rfam family: Bacterial small subunit ribosomal RNA
Source: RNAcentral
AGGAAAGUAGGGGAUCGUCAAGACCUUGCGUUAAUGGAGCGGCCGAUAUCUGAUUAGCUAGUUGGUGGGGUAAAGGCCCACCAAGGCUUCGAUCAGUAGCUGGUCUGAGAGGACGACCAGCCACACUGGAACUGAGACACGGUCCAGACUCCUACGGGAGGCAGCAGUGGGGAAUUUUGGACAAUGGGCGCAAGCCUGAUCCAGCCAUUCCGCGUGAGUGAAGAAGGCCUUCGGGUUGUAAAGCUCUUUCGCAAGGGAAGAAAACUUACCUUCUAAUAAAGGGUGAGGCUGACGGUACCUUGAUAAGAAGCACCGGCUAACUACGUGCCAGCAGCCGCGGUAAUACGUAGGGUGCGAGCGUUAAUCGGAAUUACUGGGCGUAAAGCGUGCGCAGGCGGUUUUGUAAGUCAGAUGUGAAAGCCCCGGGCUCAACCUGGGAACUGCGUUUGAAACUACAAGGCU